Salmo salar (Atlantic salmon) is the source of this 2735-nucleotide non-coding RNA. NCBI's taxonomy places the organism in Eukaryota, Metazoa, Chordata, Actinopteri, Salmoniformes, Salmonidae. The record is from RefSeq and is a predicted model, not a curated record.
GUGAUGCUUUAUGGACAACGACUCCCAUAGGGCAGAGAAACGUGUUUCUUGUCAGUAUAUCUUAAUAUUUGACUAUAAUACGAACUCGAGACAGCCUCCAAGAUGGCUGACCGUUGUUUUCAACGUAAUCUACUCACUCUCGAAUACGCCGAUUCGUGGGGGCUGACAUCUUGCUAGUUCCGGUUUCAGGAGCCCAUUACCAAUUUUUUUUUUACAACUAAACCAAGAUAGACCACAGCCUGUCAUCAAAGUGGGAAAAACAAGCAAGGAGGUGGGCAGAGCCAAGCACGAGCUAGCGAGAUCCUAUUGGCGCGUGCUAGCAUACAUCUGCAUAUUUCUGUUCGGGAACGCCUACUCUGCGAAGUGCGCGUGGGCAUAAACUCAAUUUGCCAUUGCACUCCUAAACAACGCGACUUUAACACGAAGUCUACAAAACGUAGUGCACUCUGUUCAUAACAUAUUUUACAUUUGGGAACAUCAAACUGUAUUGAAAUCAAAUGUUUCACAGAUGAGAAUUUGCAGAAUCUCGGCCAAAAUCCAUCUUGUUUCAUCUUCUCCCACUGCCGGCCAGUGGGCACUUCAAGCGGAUGCUUCACAUUUUUACAUCCAGUGAUGGAACCCAGCUUUGACGGGCAUGUUCACUAGCAAGCGGUAAAUUGCCCCGUGCCGCUUAGGCCGCCCAUUGUGAUACGCUUGUGGGCGUGCUGGCAGCAUAUAACGUUAACGCCUUUUUGAUUGAGCGUCAAGAAUUCAGCAUAUGAAGUAUGUAUGAAGGUCUGGUUAUUAAAUGCCUAAAUAGUUCAAUAGUAAUAUGCUCUAAAACGCUCUGGUGAUGAACACACUUUGCUGCCCUGUUUCCAAUUGUCCACAUGGAUGGGAGAACCUAUUCAAGUUUUCUGUCCUCAGAUAAAGAGAGCUAUGAAAGCCUGUCUAGAGAUGAAGAGGUCCCAGUGAAGGGCAGUGGUUCUAAGUCCUGGUCCUGGGGACUCAAAAGGGGUGCACGUUUUGCUGCUACAAAUGAUCAACUCCUCAUCAAGCUUCAAGUGGUAAGGUGUAGGGCACUGCAAGGUUGGGUGACCAGGGCCAUCUGGGACUGCCUCCUGGAGGAAUUCAGGCGUGUGAAGGCUAACUGUGUCCUGCAUAACUUCAUGAGAAUGGACACGAGGACCAGGAGGGGAUCUGCAGCUCGCCGCCGUGUGCCAGAGGAGAAGUCUGGUGCUCUGCAGGAUGUUUCAAGGAUGGGGUUCAACAACGCAGCAAGAGGCAAUCUGUGUGCGGGAGAUCUUCACCUCCUACUUCUUCGAUGAGGGUGCUGUUCCCUGGCAACACCAUAGACUACACUAUGCACAACCAAAGACUCUUAAGAGCCAUCCACAUUACAAUAAGAGUAUUCUUCCAUUUACUUAGCGACGUCAACUGCGGUUAUUCAAUUCUCAGUGCCUCUCCCUUUGAUUUCUACUUCUCAGGUGUGGGUGCUGUUUAGGUAAGGGUGUAAUGUCAAAACAAAAACAGGGUAUUUUAAGUCACCCAUAUUGUAAAAAUGUAGAACAAUUAGACACCCUGUAACCCACACCUACACACUCAUGUAUCAAUCUGAUUGAUGGAUUGUGUUGAGCAGUAAGCAGGCUGAUGGAUUGUGUUGAGCAGAAAGCAGGCUCAGGUGUAUAACUGGCUCCUUCCACCUUCAAAGAAUAGGUAAGAGAACCAACCAUGGAGAAUAGUAAGACACUUCCUUAUUUCUAUAACUAUGCUAUAUUGUUUGUCCUUGUGUGUCUGCAUGGUUUUCAGCAUAAAGUACUCUGCAGCCACUUAGUGUGGACACCAGGUGAGGCCUCACACACAGAUUCCUGUUGAACACUGUCUCUUUUAACUACCUUAUUUUCUCACUAAGUAUUUCUCCUUCACUUCAUCCCUCUCUCCCCUUCUCCCUAAAUCUUCUAGGUGAUAUCAGCUGUGUCUGUGAACCCUCCCCGCAUCUGAACUCGCAACACAGAAGGCACAGCAUGAUCAGAGUUGAGAUGUCACUUGGUCGGGUCAACAGGAAGUAUUAUUAAAGAGAUGCUAUACAUUGAAAUAGAGAUUUAGUAGUCCCAGAGUUAAUGAUCCAAGGUCCGUUUUGCAUUUCACCUCCAGAUGAUUGUUGACUGACAGUGUUAGAAUAAAAUAAAAUAAACACCAUGCUUAAACAUGCAAUCUCUCUGUCUCAUCUGCAGGUAUGUUUUGAUGUGAAAGAGGAUGCCAACCCCCAGUCCUGUCAUCACCACCUCACCCGUUCUUAAGAUAACCUUUGGGCCGACUGGGAGCCCAAGGCUGGUUAGGAGACACCACUAGAGACACAAUUAUGUAAUUGUGAUGAACAGAGAAUAUUAGGGUAGCACUGUGAUUCAUUAAUCAUAUGCUGUCUUCCCUGCUCCUCUGUUCUUUCCCUUUCUGUCUUUUACACCUCUAUCGCCACCUCUUUCUUCCUCUGUUUUUUAUAAUGCACACCAGAUGUGCAUUGAAGUACAGAUUGAACUUGUAUUUAUAAUGCAAGUAUUAUGUAUUUAUAACACUUGGCUAAUGAACUUCUUUCAAUUAAGCGUUUCACAUUCUCUACUGGUUGAAAUUAAGUCUCAUUUGAUAAAAUACUACACUUUUCCUGUUUAUCAGAUCAAUACAGAUGAAGGAAAUUAAAUAUUGAGGUGAACUGGUUUUAGUAUUUACAUGAUGCAUAGGCAGUGUAGUGUACUGUUAAA